AAUAUUGGACAAUGGGGUCAACCCUGAUCCAGCCAUGCCGCGUGAGUGAUGAAGGCCUUCGGGUUGUAAAGCUCUGUGGGGAGAGACGAAAGAAUCGGUUCUAACAGGACCGACGUUGACGGUAUCUCAUUAGCAAGCACCGGCUAACUCUGUGCCAGCAGCCGCGGUAAGACAGAGGGUGCAAACGUUGCUCGGAAUCACUGGGCGUAAAGGGCGUGUAGGCGGAUAGAUAAGUCGGGCGUGAAAUCCCCAGGCUCAACCUGGGAACUGCACUCGAAACUGUUUGUCUUGAGUACCGGAGAGGAAAGCGGAAUACCUGGUGUAGAGGUGAAAUUCGUAGAUAUCAGGUGGAACACCAGUGGCGAAGGCGGCUUUCUGGACGGUAACUGACGCUGAGACGCGAAAGCGUGGGGAGCAAAC
This 420-nucleotide ribosomal RNA is filed under the name uncultured bacterium. RNAcentral's name for it is "bacterial SSU rRNA". It matches the Rfam family "Bacterial small subunit ribosomal RNA", at positions 360 to 773 of the family's 1533-position model. The record is from RNAcentral.